This 492-nucleotide ribosomal RNA is filed under the name uncultured bacterium. Its description in RNAcentral is "partial 16S ribosomal RNA". It matches the Rfam family "Bacterial small subunit ribosomal RNA", at positions 29 to 507 of the family's 1533-position model. The record is from RNAcentral.
AGUGAACGCUGGCGGUAGGCUUAACACAUGCAAGUCGAACGGAAGCACAGUACGAGUUUGCUCUUACGGGUGGCGAGUGGGGGACGGGAGAGGUAUAUAUCGGACUCUUCUUUUUCGUGGGGGGUCGCGUAGGGAAGCUUACGCUCGUACAGCAUACGCCCUACGGGUGAAAGCAGUGGAACUUCGGAGCUUGUGCGGUUGGACGCGCCGCUGUUGGAUUAGCUAGUUGGCGGGGUAAAUGCCAACGCGGGCGCCGAUCGGUGUCUGGUCUGGGAGGAUGAUCGCCCACACGGGAACGUGGACACGGUCCAGACUCCUACGAUAGGCAGCAGUGUGGAAUAUUGGACAAUGGGCGCAAACCUGAUCCAGCCAGACCGCGUGGGUGAAGAAGGCCUUCGGGUUGUAAAGCCCUUUUGUGGGGAAAGAAAAGCAGCAGGUUAAGACCCCGCUGUUCUGACGGUACCCAAAGAAGAAGCACCGGCUAACUUCGUG